This 253-nucleotide ribosomal RNA is filed under the name uncultured bacterium. Its description in RNAcentral is "partial 16S ribosomal RNA". It matches the Rfam family "Bacterial small subunit ribosomal RNA", at positions 524 to 776 of the family's 1533-position model. The record is from RNAcentral.
UACGAAGGGGGCUAGCGUUGUUCGGAAUCACUGGGCGUAAAGGGCGCGUAGGCGGCUUUAUAAGUCGGGGGUGAAAGCCUGUGGCUCAACCACAGAAUUGCCUUCGAUACUGUAGAGCUUGAGACCGGAAGAGGUAAGUGGAACUGCGAGUGUAGAGGUGAAAUUCGUAGAUAUUCGCAAGAACACCAGUGGCGAAGGCGGUCAACUGGCCCUAAACUGACGCUCAUGCACGAAAGCGUGGGGAUCAAACAGG